Molecule: transfer RNA, 75 nt
Filed under: Alphaproteobacteria bacterium
Lineage: Bacteria; Pseudomonadati; Pseudomonadota; Alphaproteobacteria
Description: tRNA-Thr
Rfam family: tRNA
About the family: Transfer RNA (tRNA) molecules are approximately 80 nucleotides in length. Their secondary structure includes four short double-helical elements and three loops (D, anti-codon, and T loops). Further hydrogen bonds mediate the characteristic L-shaped molecular structure. tRNAs have two regions of fundamental functional importance: the anti-codon, which is responsible for specific mRNA codon recognition, and the 3' end, to which the tRNAs corresponding amino acid is attached (by aminoacyl-tRNA synthetases). tRNAs cope with the degeneracy of the genetic code in two manners: having more than one tRNA (with a specific anti-codon) for a particular amino acid; and 'wobble' base-pairing, i.e. permitting non-standard base-pairing at the 3rd anti-codon position.
Source: RNAcentral
GCCGGCGUAGCUCAGGGGUAGAGCAACUGAUUCGUAAUCAGUAGGUCGGGUGUUCGAAUCACCCCGCCGGCACCA